RNAcentral lists this ribosomal RNA (497 nucleotides) under uncultured bacterium. RNAcentral's name for it is "partial 16S ribosomal RNA". It matches the Rfam family "Bacterial small subunit ribosomal RNA", at positions 28 to 507 of the family's 1533-position model. The record is from RNAcentral.
GAUGAACGCUGGCGGCGUGCCUAAUACAUGCAAGUCGAGCGAACGGACGAGAAGCUUGCUUCUCUGAUGUUAGCGGCGGACGGGUGAGUAACACGUGGAUAACCUACCUAUAAGACUGGGAUAACUUCGGGAAACCGUAGCUAAUACCGGAUAAUAUUUUGAACCGCAUGGUUCAAAAGUGAAAGACGGUCUUGCUGUCACUUAUAGAUGGAUCCGCGCUGCAUUAGCUAGUUGGUAAGGUAACGGCUUACCAAGGCAACGAUGCAUAGCCGACCUGAGAGGGUGAUCGGCAACACUGGAACUGAGACACGGUCCAGACUCCUACGGGAGGCAGCAGUAGGGAAUCUUCCGAAAAGGGCGAAAGCCUGACGGAGCAACGCCGCGUGAGUGAUGAAGGUCUUCGGAUCGUAAAACUCUGUUAUUAGGGAAGAACAUAUGUGUAAGUAACUGUGCACAUCUUGACGGUACCUAAUCAGAAAGCCACGGCUAACUACGUG